GGCCCAUGAGAAGUAAAAGCAGGCACUGGCAUUCUGCACAGAUGAAAUACUUCCUAUGACAGAAAUAAAUGCUCACUUGUAGACUUCUCUGUAAUUUGUAGGCAACAUCAGGUCCUGAUUUCUAGGUCUGGAUCUGGGUUCUCUGUAGCACAGGAAGGUCUGUACUUCUCCUACAUAAAUGCCUUGCAUAGCAGGAACUAAAUCAACUACACAGACCCAUACAUCCAGAGAGCAGAGGUGAGCUGGAUACAGCAGCUUAGAGAUGUGGUGGAAGGAGCCCAGAGCUCCAAGGGAAGGGCAACAAGGAGACAACAGCAUGGGCUGCAGCUCAAACAAUAGGUAAAUCAAAGCAAGCAAAGCUGCUGGUCACAGAUUUGACCAGGGUGGCAUGAAAUGACAAGCUACCGUGAGAUUCAACAGUGGCACAGAAGGAUGAUGAGAAGCAAACAGAUUAGGAGGAGCUGCUACCACCAUAGGUAGAGGCACAGAUGACCAAGCAGAACAGCACCAGUCCCUGCAAGGUGUGCUCAGAUACAGCUUGGCACAGCCAUCUGCUCAGGAGGGAAUGAUGCUGCACAUGGUGUGCAUUGCAGCCGGGAAGUUGAGAACCGCUGUGGGCACCUCAGGACUGAGUCUGGUUACCCUGCUGAUCCAAGAAAUGAAGCCAUCUAAAAUUU
Mandrillus leucophaeus (drill) is the source of this 677-nucleotide long non-coding RNA. RefSeq lists it as uncharacterized. The record is from RefSeq and is a predicted model, not a curated record. NCBI's taxonomy places the organism in Eukaryota, Metazoa, Chordata, Mammalia, Primates, Cercopithecidae. The transcript is spliced from 2 exons.